UACGGAGGGUGCAAGCGUUAAUCGGAAUUACUGGGCGUAAAGCGCGCGCAGGCGGCUAUUUAAGUCGGAUGUGAAAGCCCCGGGCUCAACCUGGGAACUGCAUUCGAUACUGGAUAGCUAGAGUACGAGAGAGGGUGGUAGAAUUUCUAGUGUAGCGGUGAAAUGCGUAGAUAUUAGAAGGAAUACCAGUGGCGAAGGCGGCCACCUGGCUCGAUACUGACGCUCAUGUGCGAAAGCGUGGGGAGCAAACAGG
RNAcentral lists this ribosomal RNA (253 nucleotides) under uncultured bacterium. Its description in RNAcentral is "partial 16S ribosomal RNA". It matches the Rfam family "Bacterial small subunit ribosomal RNA", at positions 524 to 776 of the family's 1533-position model. The record is from RNAcentral.